This 66-nucleotide transfer RNA is filed under the name Canthesancus helluo. RNAcentral describes it as "tRNA-Ile". Lineage: Eukaryota; Metazoa; Arthropoda; Insecta; Hemiptera; Reduviidae. The record is from RNAcentral.
AAUAAGAUGCCUGAUAAAAAGGACUAUUUUGAUAGAAUAGAUGAUGUAUUCAAUAUACUCUUAUUA